AAACAUCUGGACUUUUAAAGAAGGGACCAAGCGUCAAGAAUAUCUGAUGAAUAUUUGGCAGACGGCCAGAAAUUGACAAGCAUGCAGUUAGUUUGCUAUGAGUUCCUUAAUUUCACUCUGAAUGAGAAAGAUAUCCAAUAGGAGCCACACAGAUAAAUCUUCGACUCUCAGGGGUCUGCUGGGAAGGCAUCAUGCCAACCUUCCACCAUCAAUGAGCAAGUUCAGCAGAUUAAGAAGUAGGAGAAACUGAAUAUUGAGCUCAAGAAGAAAACCUCUAUGGAGAUUUUCUUGUUGACUGGGCUCAUAGCUUCAGACCUGAAGUCAGGGAUAUUAUGGACAAUGGAGAUCCAUUUGAAAGAAGCUGCUUACCUUGGAGGAACAGGGAAACAGUGAGCAAGAGUAAGAUGUUUGUCCACUACCUGAUCCCUUGCUGAGAACAAAGUCUCCUCUUCACAGCCUGAAAACUGGGCA
Molecule: non-coding RNA, 471 nt
Organism: Rattus norvegicus (Norway rat)
Lineage: Eukaryota; Metazoa; Chordata; Mammalia; Rodentia; Muridae
Source: RefSeq, a predicted model, not a curated record